GAUGAACGCUGGCGGCGUGCCUAAUACAUGCAAGUCGAGCGAAAAGACGAGGAGAUUGCUCCCCUGCCGUUAGCGGCGGACGGGUGAGUAACACGUGGAUAACCUACUUAUAAGACUGGGAUAACUUCGGGAAAACGGAGAUAAUACCGGAUAAUAUAUUGAACCGCAUGGUUCAAUAGUGAAAGACGGUUUUGCUGUCACUUAUAGAUGGAUCCGCGCCGCAUUAGCUAGUUGGUAAGGUAACGGCUUACCAAGGCAACGAUGCGUAGCCGACCUGAGAGGGUGAUCAGCCACACUGGAACUGAGACACGGUCCAGACUCCUACGGGAGGCAGCAGUAGGGAAUCUUCCGCAAUGGGCGAAAGCCUGACGCAGCAACGCCGCGUGAGUGAUGAAGGUCUUCGGAUCGUAAAACUCUGUUAUUAGGAAAGAACAAAUGUGUAAGUAACUCUGCACGUCUUGACGGUACCUAAACAAAAAGCCACGGCUAACUACGUG
RNAcentral lists this ribosomal RNA (497 nucleotides) under uncultured bacterium. RNAcentral's name for it is "partial 16S ribosomal RNA". It matches the Rfam family "Bacterial small subunit ribosomal RNA", at positions 28 to 507 of the family's 1533-position model. The record is from RNAcentral.